This 70-nucleotide transfer RNA is filed under the name Macrotermes subhyalinus (Mendi termite). RNAcentral's name for it is "tRNA-Phe". The record is from RNAcentral. Lineage: Eukaryota; Metazoa; Arthropoda; Insecta; Blattodea; Termitidae. RNAcentral also lists the same sequence under 1 other name.
ACUUGGAUAGCUUAUUGAUUAGAGCGCGACACUGAAGAUGUCGAUGAGGUAUUUUUGUUACCUUUAGGUA